UGACUGUUCCUGUUUCUGUGUAGUUUCACCAGAUAGGCUGUAUUAGGUUUCACGUUCCGUUUGGUUGUUUUGUAUUUAUUAAGUUAUUUCAUGUAUCGUCACUUUUUCUUCAUUAAAGAACAUGAGUAACCACCACGCUGCAUUUCGGUCCGACUCUCUUUCUACAAACGAAGAACGCUGUUACAGAAUCACCCACCACAUACGGACCGAGCGGCGUGGAAACAGGCAGCGACCGCAGGAAAGCGAAAGGAGGAAUGGACAUGGGAAGACGUAUUGGAUGGCAAAGGUUGUUACACUUGGGAGGAGAUACUGGCUGGAAGAGAUCGCCUCCCAUGGGAACAGGUGGAAGCACUGAGGAGAGCAGAGGCAGCCAAAGAUAAGAGUCGACGAUACGAGGGAACACGGUUGGCAAGGAAACCCGAAAAGCACCCCCAAAAAUGUAUUGGGGGGGGGCUCAGAGGGAGAGUGGCUGAGUCGGGUGUCAGACCUGAGCCAACUCUCCCUGCUAAUCGUGAAGAGCAGUUGCAGUGGGAGAGGCUGCAUCACUUGGAGUAUUGGACAUGGGAGGAGGAACUGGACGGAAAAGGACCCUGGGCUCAGCCUGGAGAAUAUCGCCGUCCCAAGGAAGAACUAGAGGCGGCUAAAGCAGAGAGGCGCUGGUAUGAGGAGGCAGCACGGCGACGCGGAUGGAAGCCUGAGAGUCGGCCCCAAAAAUUUAUUGGGGGGGGGGGCUUACAGGGAGUAUGGCUAUGCCAGGUAGGAGACCUGCGCAAACUCCCUGUGCUUACCGGGGGGCUAAAGAGACCGGGCAGGCACCGUGUUAUGCUAGUGAGCGCACGGUGUCUCCAGUGCGGGUGCAUAGCCCGGUACGGUUCAUACCAGCCCUUCGUAUUGGCCGGGCUAGAGUGGGCAUCGAGCCAGGUAAGCUUGGGCAGGCUCGGUGCUCAAGAGCCCCAGUGCGCCUGCACGGUCCGGCGUGUCCUCGCUCCAGUAUCACCAGUGCCCGCACCACGCAUCAGGACUACAGUGCGCCUCGCCUCUCCUGCUCUGUCGGAGUCUCCCGCCUGUUCAGCACAGCCAGAGCCUUCCUUCCCUCCUGCGCUGUCGGAGUCUCCCGCCUGUUCAGCGCAGCCAGCGUUUUCCUCCUCUCCUGCGCUGUCGGAGUCUCCCGCCUGUUCAGCGCUAUCAGAGCCUUCCUUCUCUACAGCGCUGCCGGAGCCUCCUGCCUGUUUGAAGCAGCCUGAGCUGCCAGUCUGCAGGGUGCUGUCAGCCUGCAUGGAGCAGUUAGAGAUGUCAGUCUGCAUGAAGCAGCCAGAGAUGUCAGUCUGCAGGGAGCUGUCAGUCUGCAGGGAGCUGUCAGUCUGCAGGGAGCUGCCAGUCUGGAAGGAGCUGUCAGUCUGCAAGGAGCUGUCAGUCUGCAAGGAGCUGUCAG
This 1432-nucleotide long non-coding RNA is filed under the name Oncorhynchus kisutch (coho salmon). Its description in RNAcentral is "lncRNA (ENSOKIG00005012517.1)". The record is from RNAcentral. Lineage: Eukaryota; Metazoa; Chordata; Actinopteri; Salmoniformes; Salmonidae.